GACGAACGCUGGCGGCGUGCUUAACACAUGCAAGUCGAACGGAAAGGCCCUGCUUUUGUGGGGUGCUCGAGUUGCGAACGGGUGAGUAACACGUGAGUAACCUGCCCUUGACUUUGGGAUAACUUCAGGAAACUGGGGCUAAUACCGGAUAGGAGCUCCUGCUGCAUGGUGGGGGUUGGAAAGUUUCGGCGGUUGGGGAUGGACUCGCGGCGUAUCAGCUUGUUGGUGGGGUAGUGGCUUACCAAGGCUUUGACGGGUAGCCGGCCUGAGAGGGUGACCGGACACAUUGGGACGGAGAUGCGGCACAGACUCCUACGGGACGCAGCAGUGGGGAAUAGUACACAAUGGGCGGAAGCCUGAUGCAGCAACGCCGCGUGCGGGAUGACGGCCUUCGGGUUGUAAUCCGCUUUCGCCUGUGACGAAGCGUGAGUGACGGUAAUGGGUAAAGAAGCACCGGCUAACUACGUG
RNAcentral lists this ribosomal RNA (468 nucleotides) under uncultured bacterium. RNAcentral's name for it is "partial 16S ribosomal RNA". It matches the Rfam family "Bacterial small subunit ribosomal RNA", at positions 28 to 507 of the family's 1533-position model. The record is from RNAcentral.